This 500-nucleotide ribosomal RNA is filed under the name uncultured bacterium. RNAcentral's name for it is "partial 16S ribosomal RNA". It matches the Rfam family "Bacterial small subunit ribosomal RNA", at positions 30 to 523 of the family's 1533-position model. The record is from RNAcentral.
AUUGAACGCUGGCGGCAGGCUUAACACAUGCAAGUCGAGCGGGGGAGGUUGCUUCGGUAACUGACCUAGCGGCGGACGGGUGAGUAAUGCUUAGGAAUCUGCCUAUUAGUGGGGGACAACAUUCCGAAAGGGAUGCUAAUACCGCAUACGCCCUACGGGGGAAAGCAGGGGAUCUUCGGACCUUGCGCUAAUAGAUGAGCCUAAGUCGGAUUAGCUAGUUGGUGGGGUAAAGGCCUACCAAGGCGACGAUCUGUAGCGGGUCUGAGAGGAUGAUCCGCCACACUGGGACUGAGACACGGCCCAGACUCCUACGGGAGGCAGCAGUGGGGAAUAUUGGACAAUGGGCGAAAGCCUGAUCCAGCCAUGCCGCGUGUGUGAAGAAGGUCUUCGGAUUGUAAAGCACUUUAAGUUGGGAGGAAGGGCAGUAAGUUAAUACCUUGCUGUUUUGACGUUACCGACAGAAUAAGCACCGGCUAACUCUGUGCCAGCAGCCGCCGUAA